UAUAAAUUAUUCAUGGUUUUUUAAUUCAUUAUUUAUUUAUUUUACAUAUAAAUUUUAGUGAAUAUUUUUAAUUUUUUUAAAAAUAAUUAAUUUUUUAUAGUAGUAAUUAUUAUUAAAAAUUUAAGAAAUUAUGAUUUAGUAAUAUAAAAUUUUUAAUAACAAAUUUUGUGCCAGCAGUUGCGGUUAUACAAAAAUUUAUAUGAAUUUUAUUAGUGAUUAAUUAAAAGUUUAAAUUUUAUUAUUUUAAAUGUUAAAUUAUUAAGUGAAAUUUUAAUUUAAUUAAAAAAUAAGUUAUUUUUGAUUUUAAUAAAUUUAAAAAAUUAAACUAGGAUUAGAUACCCUAUUAUUAUAAAUUUAAAUUUUGAAUACUAAAAUAGUAAUUAUUAUUAAUAUUGAAACUUAAAUGAUUUGGCGGUAUUUUAGUUUAUUCAGAGGAAUCUGUUUAAUAAUUGAUAAUCCACGAAUAAAUUUACUUAAUUUUUUUUUUUAUUUUAUAUAUCGUUGUUAAAAAAAUAUUUUUAAAUAAUAAAUAAUAUUUUAAAAUUUUUAAUUAAAAUUAAAUCAGAUCAAGAUGUAGAUUAUAAUUAAGAAUAUAAUGGAUUACAAUAAAUUUAUUUAAAUGAAUGUUAAUUUGGAAAAAUUAAUUAAAGGUGGAUUUGAAUGUAAUUUUAUUUAGUUUAUUAAAAUGAUUAAUAAUUAAAAUAUGUACAUAUUGCCCGUCGCUUUCAUUUAUAAAUUGAAAUAAGUCGUAACAAAGUAGAGGUACUGGAAAGUGUUUCUAGAAAGAU
This 788-nucleotide non-coding RNA is filed under the name Scopelodes kwangtungensis. The record is from RNAcentral. Lineage: Eukaryota; Metazoa; Arthropoda; Insecta; Lepidoptera; Limacodidae.